UACGGGGGGGGCAAGCGUUGUUCGGAAUUACUGGGCGUAAAGGGCUCGUAGGCGGCCAACUAAGUCCGACGUGAAAUCCCCAGGCUUAACCUGGGAACUGCGUCGGAUACUGGAUGGCUUGAAUUCGGGAGAGGGAUGCAGAAUUCCAGGUGUAGCGGUGAAAUGCGUAGAUAUCUGGAGGAAUACCGGUGGCGAAGGCGGCGUCCUGGACCGACAUUGACGCUGAUGAGCGAAAGCUAGGGGAGCAAACGGG
RNAcentral lists this ribosomal RNA (253 nucleotides) under uncultured bacterium. RNAcentral describes it as "partial 16S ribosomal RNA". It matches the Rfam family "Bacterial small subunit ribosomal RNA", at positions 524 to 776 of the family's 1533-position model. The record is from RNAcentral.